AUUGAACGCUGGCGGCAGGCCUAAACACAUGCAAGUCGAGCGGUAGCACAGGAGAGCUUGCUCUCUCGGUGACGAGCGGCGGACGGGUGAGUAAUGUCUGGGAAAACUGCCUGAUGGAGGGGGAUAACUACUGGAAACGGUAGCUAAUACCGCAUAACGUCUUCGGACCAAAGUGGGGGAGCGUCGGGCCUCACGCCAUCAGAUGUGCCCAGAUGGGAUUAGCUAGUAGGUGGGGUAAUGGCUCACCUAGGCGACGAUCCCUAGCUGGUCUGAGAGGAUGACCAGCCACACUGGAACUGAGACACGGUCCAGACUCCUACGGGAGGCAGCAGUGGGGAAUAUUGCACAAUGGGCGCAAGCCUGAUCUAGCCAUGCCGCGUGAGUGAUGAAGGCCUUCGGGUUGUAAAGCACUUUCAGCGAGGAGGAAGGGUAGUGUGUUAAUAGCACAUUGCAUUGACGUUACUCGCAGAAGAAGCACCGGCUAACUCCGUUCCAGCAGCCGCGGUAAUACGGAGGGUGCAAGCGUUAAUCGGAAUUACUCGGCGUAAAGCGCAUGCCGUCGGUUUGUUUAGUCAGAUGUGAAAUCCCCGCGUUUAACGUGGGAGUUGCAUUUGAAACUGGCAAGCUAGAGUCUUGUAGCGGGGGGUAGAAUUCCACAUCUAGCGGUUUACCGGGCAUUAAUCAGCAGUAAUCCCGUUGUCAACCGGGGCCCCAGGUAUAAAGAGUGACGGUUAGAUUUGAAAGUGUGGGGCGCAAACAGG
Molecule: ribosomal RNA, 761 nt
Filed under: uncultured Enterobacteriaceae bacterium
Lineage: Bacteria; Pseudomonadati; Pseudomonadota; Gammaproteobacteria; Enterobacterales; Enterobacteriaceae
Description: bacterial SSU rRNA
Rfam family: Bacterial small subunit ribosomal RNA
Source: RNAcentral